CUCUUUUGCUACUGUCCUGAGGCAGAGGAGCUGUGAUGCGACUGGCUCGCUCCCUGUCUGAUGUGUUUGUUUUGUCUUAUAUUUCAGUAAAAGAGUCAAAGACCAGGUCGGUUGUGGCGUCUCUUAUUAUA
Molecule: long non-coding RNA, 131 nt
Organism: Alosa sapidissima (American shad)
Lineage: Eukaryota; Metazoa; Chordata; Actinopteri; Clupeiformes; Clupeidae
Exons: 3
Source: RefSeq, a predicted model, not a curated record